ACUAGUCUGGGAUACCACUUGGAAACAGGUGCUAAUACCGGAUAAGAAAGCGGAUCGCAUGAUCAGCUUUUAAAAGGCGGCGUAAGCUGUCGCUAUGGGAUGGCCCCGCGGUGCAUUAGCUAGUUGGUAAGGUAAAGGCUUACCAAGGCGAUGAUGCAUAGCCGAGUUGAGAGACUGAUCGGCCACAUUGGGACUGAGACACGGCCCAAACUCCUACGGGAGGCAGCAGG
RNAcentral lists this ribosomal RNA (230 nucleotides) under uncultured Lactobacillus sp. Its description in RNAcentral is "partial 16S ribosomal RNA". It matches the Rfam family "Bacterial small subunit ribosomal RNA", at positions 132 to 354 of the family's 1533-position model. Lineage: Bacteria; Bacillati; Bacillota; Bacilli; Lactobacillales; Lactobacillaceae. The record is from RNAcentral.